AGGAGUGGAGCCUGCGGCUUAAUUUGACUCAACACGGGAAACCUCACCAGGCCCGGACACCGGAAGGAUUGACAGAUUGAGAGCUCUUUCUUGAUUCGGUGGGUGGUGGUGCAUGGCCGUUCUUAGUUGGUGGAGCGAUUUGUCUGGUUAAUUCCGAUAACGAACGAGACUCUAGCCUGCUAACUAGGCGUAUUUCGACAUCCCAAAGGCCCGCCGGUUUGGGGCUUCGCGCUCCUUUCUGCGCGCGGUUUUUACUGUCGGCGUACAAACAAUUCUUCUUAGAGGGACAGGCGGCUUCUAGCCGCACGAGAUUGAGCAAUAACAGGUCUGUGAUGCCCUUAGAUGUUCUGGGCCG
This 355-nucleotide ribosomal RNA is filed under the name Pixodarus nyassae. RNAcentral's name for it is "SSU rRNA". It matches the Rfam family "Eukaryotic small subunit ribosomal RNA", at positions 1172 to 1489 of the family's 1831-position model. The record is from RNAcentral. Lineage: Eukaryota; Metazoa; Arthropoda; Insecta; Coleoptera; Cerambycidae.